This 376-nucleotide ribosomal RNA is filed under the name uncultured bacterium. RNAcentral's name for it is "bacterial SSU rRNA". It matches the Rfam family "Bacterial small subunit ribosomal RNA", at positions 521 to 895 of the family's 1533-position model. The record is from RNAcentral.
UAAUACGUAGGGUGCUAGCGUUGUUCGGAAUCAUUGGGCGUAAAGCGCGUGUAGGCGGUUAGGUAAGUCGGGUGUGAAAUCCCUGGGCUCAACCGAGGAAGUGCAUUCGAAACUACCUAGCUGGAAGACGGUAGAGGGAGGUGGAAUUCCAAGUGUAGAGGUGAAAUUCGUAGAUAUUUGGAGGAAUACCGGUGGCGAAGGCGGCCUCCUGGACCGUUCUUGACGCUGAGACGCGAAAGCGUGGGGAGCAAACAGGAUUAGAUACCCUGGUAGUCCACGCUGUAAACGAUGGGUACUAGAUGUUGCAGGAAUUGACCCCUGCAGUGUCGACGCUAACGCAUUAAGUACCCCGCCUGGGAAGUACGGCCGCAAGGUU